UCGAGUCCGCUUUUAGCCGCAACAUGAGCCACGAGCGUGCAGACGCCGCCGCCAUGCCGAUGCAUCGCGCCAACAAUAGGAAGACUAACUGUGCACAUUGCCAGCUCAAUCAUUGAUAGGAUUUUACAAAGGAUCGCAAUAUUUUAUAUAAAUUUUCUUUGUGUGCACGCAUGAAGUAUUAACAUAAGUAUAAAUAUUUCUCUGCGUCAGCAUAUUGCUUUUUGUUUUUAAUACACGAGAAUACCAAGCUGAACUGAACUUUGUACCUGUGGAACUCAUACAAUCUUUGCACGUGUAAUGAUUGCUGAAAAGUUAUUUAUUAUACGAAUUUACAAUGUAGCAAUUAAAUAAUAACAAUCGAAUGAACUAGCAUAAGAUAUGUGUACGAAUAAAUAAAUCAUGGUAUGUUAC
Trichoplusia ni (cabbage looper) is the source of this 411-nucleotide long non-coding RNA. RefSeq lists it as uncharacterized. Lineage: Eukaryota; Metazoa; Arthropoda; Insecta; Lepidoptera; Noctuidae. The transcript has 2 exons. The record is from RefSeq and is a predicted model, not a curated record.